RNAcentral lists this long non-coding RNA (352 nucleotides) under Oryza brachyantha (malo sina). RNAcentral describes it as "long non-coding RNA (OBRA_LNC001455)". Lineage: Eukaryota; Viridiplantae; Streptophyta; Magnoliopsida; Poales; Poaceae. The record is from RNAcentral.
GCGCCGCGGCAGGUCGCCUCCACUCCACUCCUCCUCGUUUCAGAGCGACGCCGACGCCCCGCGGUUGCCGACGUACUUCGUCGGGAAGCAAAGUAGAGAAGCAAGCAAAAACCGGCGGACGACCGAAUCGCCGCGGAACGGAAGCGCGCGCGCGCUCCCUCCCUCCCUCCCUCGCGUUCGCGUGGCGCGCGUGGGUGUGUCUGUGUCUACUCUCUUUUCUUUCCCCCCGCGUCUCUUUGUCAGCUGCUGCGCUUUGGGGUUGCUCGGGUCGCGUCUCGUCGCGGUCGCCAGACGCUCGACUGGACUGGAGGCUGCUGCUCCAGCGGCGCGAGGGAUCACGGUGGCGCGCGGU